UAGUUUUGACCUGUCGACUCACUGUUUCAUUGAAGGAGAUCAAACUGGAAGGUAGGCGGUCGUUUUGAUAAGAAGGUCCCAUGCUAGCACCACGAUCAUUGGAUUCUUGUUUUUCUGUUGUUGAGAAAAUAGUUUUGACCUGUCGACUCACUGUUUCAUCGAAGGAGAUCAAACUGGAAGGUAGGCGGUCGUUUUGAUAAGAAGGUCCCAUGCUAGCACCACGAUCAUUGGAUUCUUGUUUUUCUGUUUUUGACAAAAUAGUUUUGACAUGUCGAUUCAUUGUUUCAUCGAAGGAGAUCAAACUGGAAGGUAGGCGGUUGUGUUGAUAGGAACUCAUGCUAGUACCAUGAUCAUUGGAUCCUUGUGGCACCU
RNAcentral lists this long non-coding RNA (372 nucleotides) under Medicago truncatula (barrel medic). RNAcentral describes it as "long non-coding RNA (MTRU_LNC001445)". The record is from RNAcentral. Lineage: Eukaryota; Viridiplantae; Streptophyta; Magnoliopsida; Fabales; Fabaceae.